UGCGUAGGCGGUUAGUUAAGUUAGAUGUGAAAUCCCUGGGCUUAACCUGGGAAUUGCAUUUAAGACUGGUUGACUAGAGUAGAGUAGAGGGAAGUGGAAUUUCCGGUGUAGCGGUGAAAUGCGUAGAUAUCGGAAAGAACAUCAGUGGCGAAGGCGGCUUCCUGGACUCAUACUGACGCUGAGGCACGAAAGCAUGGGGAGCAAACAGGAUUAGAUACCCUGGUAGUCCAUGCCGUAAACGAUGAUAACUAGAUGCUGGGAGGUUAAACUUUUCAGUAUCGAAGCUAACGCGAUAAGUUAUCCGCCUGGGGAGUACGGCCGCAAGGCUAAA
This 331-nucleotide ribosomal RNA is filed under the name uncultured bacterium. RNAcentral's name for it is "bacterial SSU rRNA". It matches the Rfam family "Bacterial small subunit ribosomal RNA", at positions 568 to 898 of the family's 1533-position model. The record is from RNAcentral.